RNAcentral lists this unclassified non-coding RNA (349 nucleotides) under soil metagenome. Its description in RNAcentral is "partial contains 5.8S ribosomal RNA, internal transcribed spacer 2, and large subunit ribosomal RNA". The stretch from base 1 to 120 matches the Rfam family "5.8S ribosomal RNA", at positions 35 to 154 of the family's 154-position model. The record is from RNAcentral.
GAUGAAGAACGUAGCGAAAUGCGAUACGUAAUGUGAAUUGCAGAAUUCAGUGAAUCAUCGAGUCUUUGAACGCACAUUGCGCCCCCUGGUAUUCCGGGGGGCAUGCCUGUCCGAGCGUCAUUGCUGCCCUCAAGCACGGCUUGUGUGUUGGGCCUCCGCCCCCCGGCUCCCGGGGGGCGGGCCCGAAAGGCAGCGGCGGCACCGCGUCCGGUCCUCGAGCGUAUGGGGCUUCGUCACCCGCUCCGUAGGCCCGGCCGGCGCCCGCCGGCGACCCCCCUCAAUCUUUCCAGGUUGACCUCGGAUCAGGUAGGGAUACCCGCUGAACUUAAGCAUAUCAAUAAGCGGAAGA